RNAcentral lists this ribosomal RNA (630 nucleotides) under Favolaschia macropora. Its description in RNAcentral is "eukaryotic LSU rRNA". It matches the Rfam family "Eukaryotic large subunit ribosomal RNA", at positions 48 to 658 of the family's 3401-position model. Lineage: Eukaryota; Fungi; Basidiomycota; Agaricomycetes; Agaricales; Mycenaceae. The record is from RNAcentral.
AAGCGGAGGAAAAGAAACUAACAAGGAUUCCCCUAGUAACUGCGAGUGAAGCGGGAAAAGCUCAAAUUUAAAAUCUGGCGGUCCUUGUGGCCGUCCGAGUUGUAAUUUAGAGAAGUGUUAUCCGCGCUGGACCGUGUACAAGUCUCCUGGAAUGGAGCGUCAUAGAGGGUGAGAAUCCCGUCUUUGACACGGACUACCAGGGCAUUGUGAUGCGCUCUCGAAGAGUCGAGUUGUUUGGGAAUGCAGCUCAAAAUGGGUGGUAAAUUCCAUCUAAAGCUAAAUAUUGAGGAGAGACCGAUAGCGAACAAGUACCGUGAGGGAAAGAUGAAAAGAACUUUGGAAAGAGAGUUAAACAGUACGUGAAAUUGCUGAAAGGGAAACGCUUGAAGUCAGUCGCGUUGUUCAGAACUCAGCCCGGCUUUUGCUUGGUGUACUUUCUGUUCGACGGGUCAGCAUCAGUUUUGGUCAGCGGAUAAAGGCUUAGAGAAUGUGGCAUCUUCGGGUGUGUUAUAGCUCUGGGUUGUAUACGUUGGCUGGGACUGAGGAACUCAGCACGCCGAAAGGCCGGGUACUUGUACCACGUUCGUGCUUAGGAUGCUGGCAUAAUGGCUUUAAUCGACCCGUCUUGAA